CCAGCCGGCCGGGCGGCCGCUCCCGUCAUAAGUCGAAAGACGGCGGGGGAGGAAAGUCCGGGCUCCACGGAGAAACGGUGCCGGGUAACGCCCGGCGGGGGCGACCCCAGGGAAAGUGCCACAGAAAACAAACCGCCCUUCGCUUCGUGCAAGGGGUAAGGGUGAAACGGUGGGGUAAGAGCCCACCGCGCUUCCAGCAAUGGCGGCGGCAGGGCAAACCCCACCGGGAGCAAGACCGAAUAGGAACGACGCGGCGGGAAACCGCCAGCCCUCUCCGGGUCGAUCGUUCGGGUGGGUUGCUUGAGGUGCCGCGCGAGCGGCAUCCCAGAGGAAUGGUCGCCGGACGGCGCAAGCCGUCGCACAGAACCCGGCUUAUAGGCCGGCUGGCUCU
Molecule: RNase P RNA, 391 nt
Filed under: Aureimonas sp. AU20
Lineage: Bacteria; Pseudomonadati; Pseudomonadota; Alphaproteobacteria; Hyphomicrobiales; Aurantimonadaceae
Description: Bacterial RNase P class A
Rfam family: Bacterial RNase P class A
About the family: Ribonuclease P (RNase P) is a ubiquitous endoribonuclease, found in archaea, bacteria and eukarya as well as chloroplasts and mitochondria. Its best characterised activity is the generation of mature 5'-ends of tRNAs by cleaving the 5'-leader elements of precursor-tRNAs.
Source: Rfam by way of RNAcentral